UACGUAGGGUGCAAGCGUUAAUCGGAAUUACUGGGCGUAAAGCGUGCGCAGGCGGUUAUGUAAGACAGUUGUGAAAUCCCCGGGCUCAACCUGGGAACUGCAUCUGUGACUGCAUAGCUAGAGUACGGUAGAGGGGGAUGGAAUUCCGCGUGUAGCAGUGAAAUGCGUAGAUAUGCGGAGGAACACCGAUGGCGAAGGCAAUCCC
RNAcentral lists this ribosomal RNA (205 nucleotides) under uncultured bacterium. RNAcentral describes it as "partial 16S ribosomal RNA". It matches the Rfam family "Bacterial small subunit ribosomal RNA", at positions 524 to 728 of the family's 1533-position model. The record is from RNAcentral.